GACGAACCGUGCGAACGUUGUUCGGAAUCACUGGGCUUAAAGGGCGCGUAGGCGGGCUGGCAAGUCCGUGGUGAAAUCCUCCGGCUCAACCGGGGAACGGCCUCGGAUACUGGCGGCCUCGAGGGGGAUAGGGGCGUGCGGAACUGUGGGUGGAGCGGUGAAAUGCGUUGAUAUCCACAGGAACUCCGGUGGCGAAGGCGGCACGCUGGAUCCUCUCUGACGCUGAGGCGCGAAAGCCAGGGGAGCGAACGGG
This 253-nucleotide ribosomal RNA is filed under the name uncultured Zavarzinella sp. Its description in RNAcentral is "partial 16S ribosomal RNA". It matches the Rfam family "Bacterial small subunit ribosomal RNA", at positions 524 to 776 of the family's 1533-position model. The record is from RNAcentral. Lineage: Bacteria; Pseudomonadati; Planctomycetota; Planctomycetia; Gemmatales; Gemmataceae.